GUGACACAAGUGACUCAAACAAAAAAUUGUGCACGUGAAAAACGGUUCCGUGUACAUUUCACGUGUUUGUCAGAAGUUGUUGUGCUAUCACAGUCAAUUCUCCUGCAGUAUCUGCUUUGCUGAACAUGUCUAGUGCUUCGAUGGUGCUGUAAGUGUGCUUCCGUUGCGCAGAGGAAUGUGUGAAUUUCACAAUCGAUUUUCUUGAUGCAAGUGAGGAAGGAGGAGCAGGAUGUGAAACUCGGGCUGAAGUGUUGCUUUACUGUUGGGCACAGCUUCAGCUCACAUGUGAAGAAGUCACUGCAGACACACAGAAGCAGAGGAAAGAAAACAUAAACCGAGAUAAAAUGCCCGAGAUCAAAUACAUUGUUCUCUGGUUGCUGCAUAACAUUUCUUUUACUAUGGCAGGGACCAUUGCUGUAUACAGUAUUGAAAGUCAUAAUGCUACUCUGAAAUGCGGAAGUCUGAGUGUUGGUGCCCGCAGAUUAAUUACUUGGAUAUAUAGCAGAAAUUCAACAGCAACAAUGACUGAAAAUCUGACCCUCAAAUACAUGGAGAGAGCUGGAAGACUAAGUGUGGGGCGUGACUGCUCUCUACACAUUUAUAACGUAAGCACUGAAGAUGGUGGACGGUACACCUGUCGAAUAGGACAGGCCGAUAUUACCGAAGCUUAUGUGUCCGUUCUGACUAUUCGUCCACAACGGAUGGCUGACGGCACCAUGAACCUGCAGUGUCUGCUGUACACCUAUGAUGGUCCUGGAAGGUGUCAUAAAGUCCCAUUUCAUAAAGUGAGUCUGAAGUGGCUCAGUGACACAGGGACUGAGAUGCAGACGGACGUCAGGCAUCAGCAACACAAAUCCCCCUGUAACAUCACUCUGACAGUCAAACUGAAGGAGACAAGCAACAGAGAGUGGACGUGUCAGUUGCUCAAUGAGUCAAAAGCGAAGGGAUCACACAGUUACAGCAUAUCCGAAUCCAGCCAGGAUCCACACAAGUUCGUGAUAGCAGGUACUGUAGCUGCAGUGGCCUUGGUCAUGAUCAUCAGUGUGUGUCUUCUCCUCCUGGUGAAGUUCAGGAGGAGAGCAGGAGAUCGCCCCUGUCGGAGCAAAAGUGUGAAUAAUUGCAGCCGCUCAGCAGAUGGACAAAGAGACACAGAUGGAAACCUUGACAGCCCCAAUAAUCAAUAUGAAACAGUAAACGAAACCAGUGAAAAUACUUUAACCUAUACUGAGGUCCUAUGUGAACCAUCUAGACAGAAACAAAGAUGUAAACAGGAGGGAGAAAACAACGAAUUCUGCACCGAAUAUGUCACCAUCAAAAUAGCACAAACCUGAGUCACUGGACACAUCUAUAAAACUAUUCCUUAGGCACAGGUUUCCAGACAAUGGGAUGCUUCGCCAAGAUGUUGUUCGGAAAUGAUUUGGGCACCUUUUUCACAACCUUGGACCUGGAUGUUCUGACAGUAUCAGUCUUGAAGCCAUGAUCCAUUCUGGGAAAAGGCAUUUUGCAGAAAUCUGUGUAUGCAUUGCCAUUUAAUAGAAUGCAUUUCUUUAUUAAUGUCAUCAAUUUUGUAAUAACAGAGUUUUCAUGUGCUUUAUGUUUAUGUAGGUACAUAUGGUGUUAUACAGUGAAUUAAUAAAAUUGUGAAAAAGCUGUUAUUCA
This is a long non-coding RNA of Scleropages formosus (Asian bonytongue), 1659 nucleotides long. NCBI's taxonomy places the organism in Eukaryota, Metazoa, Chordata, Actinopteri, Osteoglossiformes, Osteoglossidae. The record is from Ensembl.